RNAcentral lists this ribosomal RNA (484 nucleotides) under uncultured bacterium. Its description in RNAcentral is "partial 16S ribosomal RNA". It matches the Rfam family "Bacterial small subunit ribosomal RNA", at positions 30 to 507 of the family's 1533-position model. The record is from RNAcentral.
AUUGAACGCUGGCGGCAGGCCUAACACAUGCAAGUCGAGCGGAUGAAGGGAGCUUGCUCCUGGAUUCAGCGGCGGACGGGUGAGUAAUGCCUAGGAAUCUGCCUGGUAGUGGGGGAUAACGUCCGGAAACGGGCGCUAAUACCGCAUACGUCCUGAGGGAGAAAGUGGGGGAUCUUCGGACCUCACGCUAUCAGAUGAGCCUAGGUCGGAUUAGCUAGUUGGUGGGGUAAAGGCCUACCAAGGCGACGAUCCGUAACUGGUCUGAGAGGAUGAUCAGUCACACUGGAGCGGGGACACGGACCAGACGCCUGCGGGAGGCAGCAGUGGGGAAUAUUAGACAAUGGGCGAAAGCCUGAUCCAGCCAUGCCGCGUGUGUGAAGAAGGUCUUCGGAUUGUAAAGCACUUUAAGUUGGGGGGAAGGGCAGUAAGUUAAUACCUUGCUGUAUUGACGUUACCAACAGAAUAAGCACCGGCUAACUUCGUG